GACGAACGCUGGCGGCGUGCUUAACACAUGCAAGUCGAGCGGUAAGGCUCCUUCGGGAGUACACGAGCGGCGAACGGGUGAGUAACACGUGAGUAAUCUGCCCUUCACUUCGGGAUAACCACCGGAAACGGUGGCUAAUACCGAAUACGACCAGUCUUCGCAUGAGGUGCUGGUGGAAAGUCUUUUCGGUGAAGGAUGUGCUCGCGGCCUAUCAGCUUGUUGGUGGGGUAAUGGCCUACCAAGGCUUCGACGGGUAGCCGGCCUGAGAGGGUGACCGGCCACACUGGGACUGAGACACGGCCCAGACUCCUACGGGAGGCAGCAGUGGGGAAUAUUGGACAAUGGGCGAAAGCCUGAUCCAGCAACGCCGCGUGAGGGAUGACGGCCUUCGGGUUGUAAACCUCGUUCAGUACCGACGAAGCGCCCUGUCGGGUGGUGACGGUAGGUACAGAAGAAGGACCGGCCAACUACGUG
Molecule: ribosomal RNA, 474 nt
Filed under: uncultured bacterium
Lineage: Bacteria
Description: partial 16S ribosomal RNA
Rfam family: Bacterial small subunit ribosomal RNA
Source: RNAcentral